Molecule: ribosomal RNA, 609 nt
Filed under: uncultured Bacillus sp.
Lineage: Bacteria; Bacillati; Bacillota; Bacilli; Caryophanales; Bacillaceae
Description: bacterial SSU rRNA
Rfam family: Bacterial small subunit ribosomal RNA
Source: RNAcentral
AAUGCAGUCGAGCGAACUGAUUAGAAGCUUGCUUCUAUGACGUUAGCGGCGGACGGGUGAGUAACACGUGGGCAACCUGCCUGUAAGACUGGGAUAACUUCGGGAAACCGAAGCUAAUACCGGAUAGGAUCUUCUCCUUCAUGGGAGAUGAUUGAAAGAUGGUUUCGGCUAUCACUUACAGAUGGGCCCGCGGUGCAUUAGCUAGUUGGUGAGGUAACGGCUCACCAAGGCAACGAUGCAUAGCCGACCUGAGAGGGUGAUCGGCCACACUGGGACUGAGACACGGCCCAGACUCCUACGGGAGGCAGCAGUAGGGAAUCUUCCGCAAUGGACGAAAGUCUGACGGAGCAACGCCGCGUGAGUGAUGAAGGCUUUCGGGUCGUAAAACUCUGUUGUUAGGGAAGAACAAGUACGAGAGUAACUGCUCGUACCUUGACGGUACCUAACCAGAAAGCCACGGCUAACUACGUGCCAGCAGCCGCGGUAAUACGUAGGUGGCAAGCGUUAUCCGGAAUUAUUGGGCGUAAAGCGCGCGCAGGCGGUUUCUUAAGUCUGAUGUGAAAGCCCACGGCUCAACCGUGGAGGGUCAUUGGAAACUGGGGAACUUGA